RNAcentral lists this ribosomal RNA (493 nucleotides) under uncultured bacterium. RNAcentral's name for it is "bacterial SSU rRNA". It matches the Rfam family "Bacterial small subunit ribosomal RNA", at positions 21 to 509 of the family's 1533-position model. The record is from RNAcentral.
GGCUCAGGAUGAACGCUAGCGGCAGGCUUAACACAGUGCAAGUCGAGGGGCGAUCGGGGAUAGCAAUAUCCGCCGGCGACCGGCGAAAGGGUGCGUAACGCGUGAGCAACUUGCCCGUAUCAGGGGGAUAAGCGAUGGAAACGCCGUCUAAUACCCCAUAACAACGAGGGUGGCAUCACCCAUGUUUGAAAGCAUUUUGCGGAUACGGAUAGGCUCGCGAGACAUUAGCUAGUUGGCGGGUAACGCCCACCAAGGCGACGAUGUCUAGGGGUUCUGAGAGGAAGGUCCCCCACAUUGGAACUGAGACACGGUCCAAACUCCUACGGGAGGCAGCAGUGAGGAAUAUUGGUCAAUGGCCGGAAGGCUGAACCAGCCAUGCCGCGUGCAGGAAUAAGGCCCUAUGGGUCGUAAACUGCUUUUGUGGUGGAGCAAUAAGGGUUACGCGUAACCCGAUGAGAGUACAUCACGAAUAAGCAUCGGCUAACUCCGUGCC